UACGAAGGGGGCUAGCGUUGCUCGGAAUCACUGGGCGUAAAGGGUGCGUAGGCGGGUCUUUAAGUCAGGGGUGAAAUCCUGGAGCUCAACUUCGGAAUUGCCUUUGAUACUGUCUGUCUUGAGUCCGGGAGAGGUGAGUGGAAUUCCUAGUGUAGAGGUGAAAUUCGUAGAUAUUAGGAAGAACACCAGUGGCGAAGGCGGCUCACUGGCCCGGUACUGACGCUCAUGUGCGAAAGCGUGGGGAGCAAACAGG
Molecule: ribosomal RNA, 253 nt
Filed under: uncultured bacterium
Lineage: Bacteria
Description: partial 16S ribosomal RNA
Rfam family: Bacterial small subunit ribosomal RNA
Source: RNAcentral